AUUGAACGCUGGCGGCAUGCUUUACACAUGCAAGUCGAACGGUAACAGGCCUUCGGGUGCUGACGAGUGGUGAACGGGUGAGUAAUGCAUCGGAACGUGCCCAGAGGUGGGGGAUAACGCAGCGAAAGCUGUGCUAAUACCGCAUGUGAUCUGAGGAUGAAAGCGGGGGACCAGGCAGCAAUGUUUGGCCUCGCGCCUUUGGAGCGGCCGAUGUCAGAUUAGGUAGUUGGUGGGGUAAAGGCCUACCAAGCCGACGAUCUGUAGCUGGUCUGAGAGGACGACCAGCCACACUGGGACUGAGACACGGCCCAGACUCCUACGGGAGGCAGCAGUGGGGAAUUUUGGACAAUGGGCGCAAGCCUGAUCCAGCAAUGCCGCGUGCGGGAAGAAGGCCUUCGGGUUGUAAACCGCUUUUGUACGGAACGAAAAGGCUCUGGCUAAUACCUGGGGCUGAUGACGGUACCGUAAGAAUAAGCACCGGCUAACUACGUG
This 492-nucleotide ribosomal RNA is filed under the name uncultured bacterium. RNAcentral describes it as "partial 16S ribosomal RNA". It matches the Rfam family "Bacterial small subunit ribosomal RNA", at positions 30 to 507 of the family's 1533-position model. The record is from RNAcentral.